GCCUGGGUGGCUCAUUUGGUUAAGCAUCAGACUUCGGCUCAGGUCAUGAUCUCACGGUCUGUGGGUUCGAGCCCUGUCUCGGGCU
This is a transfer RNA of Felis catus (domestic cat), 85 nucleotides long. It matches the Rfam family "tRNA". Rfam says of the family: Transfer RNA (tRNA) molecules are approximately 80 nucleotides in length. The record is from Rfam. Lineage: Eukaryota; Metazoa; Chordata; Mammalia; Carnivora; Felidae.